ACGUACGGCCAUACCCCCUUGAAAGCGUCCGAUCCCGUCCGCUCUCGGGUAUAAGCUUGGGAGGGCCGAACCAGUAGUUGGGUCGGUGACGACCAGCGAAUCCUCGGUGCUGUAUGUU
This 118-nucleotide ribosomal RNA is filed under the name Scedosporium apiospermum. The record is from RNAcentral. Lineage: Eukaryota; Fungi; Ascomycota; Sordariomycetes; Microascales; Microascaceae.